UAGGGAAUCUUCGGCAAUGGACGAAAGUCUGACCGAGCAACGCCGCGCGAGUGAAGAAGGUUUUCGGAUCGUAAAACUCUGUUGUUAGAGAAGAACAAGGACGUUAGUAACUGAACGUCCCCUGACGGUAUCUAACCAGAAAGCCACGGCUAACUACGUGCCAGCAGCCGCGGUAAUACGUAGGUGGCAAGCGUUGUCCGGAUUUAUUGGGCGUAAAGCGAGCGCAGGCGGUUUCUUAAGUCUGAUGUGAAAGCCCCCGGCUCAACCGGGGAGGGUCAUUGGAAACUGGGAGACUUGAGUGCAGAAGAGGGGAGUGGAAUUCCAUGUGUAGCGGUGAAAUGCGUAGAUAUAUGGAGGAACACCAGUGGCGAAGGCGGCUCUCUGGUCUGUAUCUGACGCUGGGGCUCGAAAGCGUGGGGAGCAAACAGG
This 429-nucleotide ribosomal RNA is filed under the name Gemmatimonadota bacterium. RNAcentral's name for it is "Gemmatimonadetes bacterium partial 16S ribosomal RNA". It matches the Rfam family "Bacterial small subunit ribosomal RNA", at positions 355 to 776 of the family's 1533-position model. Lineage: Bacteria; Pseudomonadati; Gemmatimonadota. The record is from RNAcentral.